GGGACGAACGCUGGCGGCGUGCUUAACACAUGCAAGUCGAGCGGUAAGGCCUUUCGGGGUACACGAGCGGCGAACGGGUGAGUAACACGUGGGUGACCUGCCCUCCACUCUGGGAUAAGCCUUGGAAACGGGGUCUAAUACCGGAUAUGACCACAUGUCGCAUGGUAUGUGGUGGAAAGCGUUUAGUGGUGGGGAUGGGCCCGCGGCCUAUCAGCUUGUUGGUGGGGUGAUGGCCUACCAAGGCUUCGACGGGUA
RNAcentral lists this ribosomal RNA (255 nucleotides) under uncultured bacterium. RNAcentral's name for it is "partial small subunit ribosomal RNA". It matches the Rfam family "Bacterial small subunit ribosomal RNA", at positions 27 to 285 of the family's 1533-position model. The record is from RNAcentral.